Molecule: ribosomal RNA, 774 nt
Filed under: uncultured Neocallimastigales
Lineage: Eukaryota; Fungi; Neocallimastigomycota; Neocallimastigomycetes; Neocallimastigales
Description: partial large subunit ribosomal RNA
Rfam family: Eukaryotic large subunit ribosomal RNA
Source: RNAcentral
UAUGUGAUCGUCUCUCGCAUAUCAAUAAGCGGAGGAAAAGAAACUAACAAGGAUUCCCCUAGUAACGGCGAGUGAAGCGGGAAGAGCUCAAAUUUGAAAUCUUAAAGGGUUUCCCUUUACGAAUUGUAGUUUAAAGAAGUGUUUUCUGUUGAGGUUUUGGUAAAAGUUCUUUGGAAUAGGACAUCAUAGAGGGUGAGAAUCCUGUAUUUGACCUUUACUUUCAACUUUGUGAUACACUUUCAAAGAGUCGGAUUGUUUGGGAAUGCAGUCCAAAAUGGGUGGUAAAUUUCAUCUAAAGCUAAAUAUUGGCGAGAGACCGAUAGCGAACAAGUACCGUGAGGGAAAGAUGAAAAGAACUUUGAAAAGAGAGUUAAACAGUACGUGAAAUUGUCAAAAGGGAAGCGUUUGACACCAGUGUUGUUUUUCUGAAAAUCAAUUAAAGAACUGUUUAUGCUAAGUUGUUUAGACUUUAUCAGCUAUCUGUUUAGUUUUGAGCUUUUCUUUAAUGCACUUUUCAGUUAACAAGUCAACAUCAAUUUCUUUUGCUGUAAAAAAGCUUGAGGAAGGUGGCUUGAGAUUCGUCUUAAGUGUUUAUAGCCUCUUGCCUAUGCAGUCGGAGAGAUUGAGGUCUGCAGCGUAGAUCCUUCGGGGCUAAAUGCAUUUGUGCUAAGUUAUAGCAUUUUAUAGACAACUUGUUGACUAUGAUUUGUCUUGUAGCUUACUCGCUUAUGUUAUUUUACCUACGCUUAGGAUGUUGACACACGCGCGUGCUCG